This 428-nucleotide ribosomal RNA is filed under the name uncultured bacterium. Its description in RNAcentral is "bacterial SSU rRNA". It matches the Rfam family "Bacterial small subunit ribosomal RNA", at positions 355 to 775 of the family's 1533-position model. The record is from RNAcentral.
UGGGGAAUUUUGGACAAUGGGCGCAAGCCUGAUCCAGCCAUGCCGCGUGUGGGAAGAAGGCCUUCGGGUUGUAAACCACUUUUGUCAGGGAAGAAACGGCUUAAUCUAAUAAAUUGAGCUAAUGACGGUACCUGAAGAAUAAGCACCGGCUAACUACGUGCCAGCAGCCGCGGUAAUACGUAGGGUGCAAGCGUUAAUCGGAAUUACUGGGCGUAAAGCGUGCGCAGGCGGCUAUGCAAGACAGAUGUGAAAUCCCCGGGCUCAACCUGGGAACUGCAUUUGUGACUGCAUGGCUAGAGUACGGCAGAGGGGGAUGGAAUUCCGCGUGUAGCAGUGAAAUGCGUAGAUAUGCGGAGGAACACCGAUGGCGAAGGCAAUCCCCUGGGCCUGUACUGACGCUCAUGCACGAAAGCGUGGGGAGCAAACAG